This 227-nucleotide ribosomal RNA is filed under the name uncultured bacterium. RNAcentral describes it as "partial 16S ribosomal RNA". It matches the Rfam family "Bacterial small subunit ribosomal RNA", at positions 118 to 351 of the family's 1533-position model. The record is from RNAcentral.
UGGAUUAUCUACCCUGAGGUGGGGGAUAACCCGGGGAAACUCGGGCUAAUACCGCAUGACAUCGAGAGAUCAAAGGGGGCCGCAAGGCUCUCGCCAUGGGAGGAGUCCGCGUACGAUUAGCUAGUUGGUAGGGUAACGGCCUACCAAGGCGACGAUCGUUAGCCGGCCUGAGAGGGUGAUCGGCCACACUGGAACUGAGACACGGUCCAGACUCCUACGGGAGGCAG